UACAUUUCUUUUGGAAAUGAGUUAAGAGAGAGUAAUUCAAAUCAACUAUAAAAUUUCAUACACAAGAAGCAUAAACCAAAAGUUUGUGACAUACACAUGAUUCACUACGACGAGCAGCAACCAAACUUGCUUCUUCCGGAUACAACUUCUUGACUCGGAACAACAAUAUCCGUCCCCUUAAGAAGAGCAGAACUCCCCUCGGAUUCCUCGUUAGCGACAAGAGACUUUUUACUAACUGUUCGAUAAAUCUCCGUAAGAAUAGUGAGAAAUGCAGGCUCUACAUUUGUAGCUUCAAGCGCAGAUGUUUCCAUGAAAAACAAACCUUCUCUUUCCGCAAAUUCUUUUGCAUCAUCGGUUGAUACCUCGCGUUGAGAAUCCAAGUCAGAUUUGUUUCCUAUGAGCAUAAUGACGAUGUUGUUAUCGGCAUGGCCACGUAAUUCCUCUAGCCACCUGGCAAUGUGAUCAAACGAUUGACGUUUGCUUAUGUCAUACACCAACAUUGCUCCCACUGCUCCUCUGUAAUAGGCACUAGUUACAGCGCGGUACCUGUUUGAGCUGGAAAGCUUGCUGACAGCGUCGCUGGUUCAGUGGAGAUGUUGGGAAAAGUAUCCCAAAUCUGAGCUUUAACAUUCUUAUGAUCGAUCACCAUCGUCUUCGUCUGGAACUCAACACCAAUGGUAGCUUUCGAAUCCAAACUGAACUCAUUUCUUGAAAAUCUAGCCAACAGUUGAGAUUUUCCCACAGCAGAAUCCCCAAUUAGUACGAUCUUGAACACGUAAUCGAUCUUUUGACUGAAAUCCCCGUGAUAAUUCGACAUCUCUCAUCAAUU
RNAcentral lists this long non-coding RNA (829 nucleotides) under Helianthus annuus (common sunflower). RNAcentral describes it as "hypothetical non coding rna". Lineage: Eukaryota; Viridiplantae; Streptophyta; Magnoliopsida; Asterales; Asteraceae. The record is from RNAcentral.